Molecule: ribosomal RNA, 400 nt
Filed under: uncultured bacterium
Lineage: Bacteria
Description: bacterial SSU rRNA
Rfam family: Bacterial small subunit ribosomal RNA
Source: RNAcentral
UGAAGAAUAUUGCACAAUGGAGGAAACUCUGAUGCAGCAACGCCGCGUGAAGGAUGAAGGUUUUCGGAUUGUAAACUUCUUUUGUCGGGGACGAAAAAAAUGACGGUACCUGACGAAUAAGCCACGGCUAACUACGUGCCAGCAGCCGCGGUAAUACGUAGGUGGCAAGCGUUAUCCGGAUUUACUGGGUGUAAAGGGCGAGUAGGCGGGAUCGUAAGUCAGAUGUGAAAUCUGGGGGCUCAACCCCCAAACUGCAUUUGAAACUAUGAUUCUUGAGUGAUGGAGAGGCAGGCGGAAUUCCCGGUGUAGCGGUGGAAUGCGUAGAGAUCGGGAGGAACACCAGUGGCGAAGGCGGCCUGCUGGACAUUAACUGACGCUGAGGAGCGAAAGCGUGGGGAGC